AGGGUUCGAUUAUGGCUCAGGACGAACGCCGGCGGCGUGCUUAACACAUGCAAGUCGAGCGAGGUAGCAAUACCUAGCGGCGGACGGGUGAGUAACGCGUGAGCAAUCUGCCUACAUCAUCGGGAUACCACGUAGAAAUAUGUGCUAAUACCGAAUAAGACCACACCGAGGCAUCUCGGAGAGGUAAAAGUGAUUUAGCGGAUGUAGAUGAGCUCGCGUCCCAUUAGCUAGAUGGUGAGGUAACGGCCCACCAUGGCGACGAUGGGUAGCCGACCUGAGAGGGUGAUCGGCCACAUUGGAACUGAGAUACGGUCCAG
This 317-nucleotide ribosomal RNA is filed under the name uncultured bacterium. RNAcentral's name for it is "bacterial SSU rRNA". It matches the Rfam family "Bacterial small subunit ribosomal RNA", at positions 8 to 334 of the family's 1533-position model. The record is from RNAcentral.